This is an RNA transcript of Amborella trichopoda, 4404 nucleotides long. It is a transcript of the gene named MATE efflux family protein, with no coding region annotated. NCBI's taxonomy places the organism in Eukaryota, Viridiplantae, Streptophyta, Magnoliopsida, Amborellales, Amborellaceae. The record is from RefSeq and is a predicted model, not a curated record.
GCCACAUUUUUCGGCAGUAUCUGAAGGUGCGAUCUUCUUUGAUUGUUUAGAGCCUCGCUCUAUACAAACCGCUGGUUUCUUUGAAAAACACGUGUCUAUUUGGUCGUAUCCGAAGCCGCGCCGCGUGUCGUCAUCAAUCAACGUCUAAUUUCAUUGCCGCUUCAUUAUUCUUUAAUCAAGGGCUUCGAAGUUUUCAUCCUCGUCACCAUCGCCAUGUUGUUAAGUUAGGGUUUAUGCGAAUUGGGCCUCUUAGUUGCAGGACAUUAACAACUGGUGGUUUUCUUGAAUUACUGUUAAUUCCUCGUAUUUUGAAUGUUUCUGGUUCUGUUGAUUGAUUUGAUGAUUGUCAACAAAACUUGAUGAAUGUGAUUAGGAGCAUCUUGUGAUGGAUAUCCUGCCUAGAGUUUCACUUUCAAAUGGCUCCUCAAGUACUUUAUACCCAAGAAUACCAAAAAAGGAAAUGUCGAGGUCUUUUGCAUGCAUUAAUUCACCUGACAUUCUUGGCAUUACCAUGAGAGCAAGAACUACGAUUUUGAGAAAUUCAGUUCUAGCAUUGGAUUAUAAGGGGUGUCCACUAUCAACACGUAUUAUUUGCAAAAGAUGUAAUAUCCCCGUGGCAAAAUUUUCUUCGUACUCAGAUGGUGGUCUGGACUCAUACAGCACUGAUCCUAAUGUCAUUCAAACCAAACGAAGUCUCCUAGGGAUUAUAAAGGAGGGCAUUGGUGAUUUGGUGGGAAUUUCAAGCAACCCGUCAUAUUCUAGAAGUGUUGAGAGUGAGCUUGUAAUUCUUGCUUUACCUGCAAUUGUUGAAAGAGCAAUAGAUCCAUUGGCACAAUUGAUGGAGACAGCUUAUAUUGGAAGAUUGGGUGCGGUGGAGUUGGCUUCUGUUGGUGUUUCCAUGUCAAUUUUCAAUGUCAUAUCGAAGUUAUUCAAUAUUCCUCUCCUAAGUGUCACGACUUCAUUUGUGGCUGAAGACAUAUCAAAAUGUGCAAGCGGGGACCUAAUUACAGGCCAAAGUAAUCAAGUUGAUAAUGGUGACCUCCAACCAAAAGUGCAUGAGAUAACAGAAAGGAAACAAUUACCUUCUGUAUCAACUGCCUUGUUUUUAGCGGCUACCAUUGGUAUCAUUGAAGGUGCUGCUUUAUACUUUGGAGCUGGAAUGUUUCUUAACAUAAUGGGUAUAUCAUUGGAUUCACCAAUGCGCGGUCCAUCUCGACGAAUUCUUUCUUUGAGAGCCCUAGGUGCUCCUGCUGUGGUACUUUCUCUUGCUGUCCAAGGGGUCUUUCGUGGUUUCAAAGAUACAAAAACACCCAUGCUUUGUACAGGGGUUGGUAAUCUCUCGGCAGCUUUUCUGUUUCCCCUGCUCAUGUACUUCUGUGGCCUUGGUAUAACUGGUGCUGCCAUCGCUACAGUUACAUCCCAGUAUAUUAUUACAUUUUUACUUCUGUGGUUCCUUAGUAAAAAAGUGAAAUUGCUUCCUCCCAAGUUGGAAGAUCUACAGUUUAGUUCCUAUCUAAAGUCUGGUGGUUUACUUCUUGGCAGAACUUUAGCAGUAUUAGUCACCAUGACCUUAAGUACAUCAAUGGCAGCACGCUUAGGACCAUCAGCUAUGGCUGCUCAUCAGUUAUGCUUUCAAUUGUGGUUGGCCGUAUCUCUCCUUACUGAUGCAAUGGCAAUGUCAGGUCAGGCCAUGAUUGCAAGUGCCUUUUCAAAGGGAGAGUACAAGAGAGUCAAAGAAAUUACAUAUUGUGUGUUAAAGACUGGACUGUUUACUGGUAUUUCCUUGGCGAUAAUACUAUGUGCUUGUUUUGGUUCCAUUGUGGAAUUAUUCUCUAAGGAUGCGGAAGUAUUAUCAAUUGUUAGAACUGGUGUGCUGUUUGUCUGUGGGAGCCAACCUAUCAAUGCUCUUGCUUUUGUUUUUGAUGGACUCCUUUUUGGGAUCUGUGAUUUCGCAUAUGCUGCUCGGUCAAUGAUUACUAUUUCAGCAAUCUCUUCUGCAUUUUUAUUCUAUGCUCCAUCAAUCUUUGGUUUAUAUGGAGUUUGGUCAGGGUUGGCGGCAUUCAUGACCUUGCGUAUGGCUGCAGGGUUUUUGAGGUUAGGAUCAAAGUCUGGGCCAUGGUGGUUCUUGUGGAAGGACAUUGAGAAUCCUGAAGUUGUUACAUAUUGAGUUGAUUUUUUAUCUUCACUGGGGGAAGCUAGCAGGUCAGUUCAUUCUUUGCCUAUUUUCGGUUGCUUUCUACUACGGAAAACCAUGCCUCAACUGGUUGUGAAGUCCGUUGAAAGCCUAUUGACUUGGUGGUUUGAUUGCAAUGGGUGCAUGUCUAGUUUUAAGGGUUCAACCAACCCACCUGAGGAUAAAACAAAGAGUUCCUGUCAGUUCUGAAUUUCUUCUACAUUAGUCAAACUUGCUGAAUCAAAUGAUGACCUGACAUAGCAAAUCAUCAUCGUUUUGGGUAAGUAACUAGGUCAGUCAAAAAGUCGCCUGGGUUUGGAUGACUAAUAGGCUGUUCGAGUUGGAGUGCUUCACGAGUCAAUUUUGGCAUGGUUAGAAACAGGAGUAUGGGUAGCAUCAUUUCCUGAUAUUUUCUGUAAACAAAUUUAUAAGGUUAUUGCGAGAACCACAGUUCGUGUUUCUGCACAAUUGUUAGGCAUGACUUUUCUAAAUAUAAUAUUUUCCAAUUUCUGGAAUUUUCAGGCAUACGAUAUUGAAUACUUGUAAGCUUUAAGGGUUAAGCCAAUGAGCCUUGAGCAAUAUUUUACAGCUUGACAAACCAAGCCAAGCAGAGCAGGAUAGCACAUUAAGAAAGCUGAGGCAAGCUUGUCUCAUGCUUGGCUUGAGCUUGUUUAAUAUACUAUAGGCCUGAAAAUUAAUUUUUUUGGAAUAUAUCAUCGUAUCUGAAAUUAAUAUACUCUGGAUAACAUUAAUCUAUUCGUCGUUUGGUACAUAGAUUGUCUUAUAUGUAAUAUUAUUUUGUUAUUUAACUUUUUUGGUGAUUUUCAUACAUUUUUUGCUAUUUCUGGCUAAAAACAUGUGGUCUUUGGCAAAUUGCUCAGAAAAGUAAAAACGACCUUUCAAAAAGAUGUACUUAUAUCUUGCCUAUAAUUAUUUGAGAUAACUUUAUAAUGCACAAUGCCAAAGAACAAUUAAUUCAUUAUCAGGACUAACUUUAUUGAAAAUAGUGAAUUAUUAGUGGUAAUGACUACAUCCAAACAUGCCCCUAUGAUUCUAGAUGGACCUGUUUGGAUGACAGUUUUUUUUAUUAGCAGUAGGCAAUUUUGCCUGAAGAUCAUAUAUUUUGCAUAAUAUUACUUUCUUAGCUGUUUAAUUUGUCUCUACGUUUGUAUAAAUAUUUUAUCGGUUGGUUAUUUGGAUUUAUUAUUUGGUCUAUUUAUUCCCCUUUUUAUCAUCUCCUUUUUACAUCUUGAAAACUAGAUCCAACUUACGACCACAAAAUUCUCUAUCUAUAUCCAUUAUUCAUAAAUCUCUCUUUCUCUCUCUCUCUAGCUAAUACCUUUAAACUCGCUCUCUUUUGGCUUUGGCCUAUGUCAUCUCUCAUCUCAAUUGCACUCUUCUCUCUCUCUUCCUUGGGCACUGUGAAGAAGACUUACCUCUCCCUCACUAAGUAGAAAGUGGAAGCUUCAACCAGUUCCUCACUGUAAGAAGCUAUGAUCCACAUUUCCUUGCCUGAAAAACCAGAAGUUGAAGGAAAAUGAGUGGCAAUUGCGAUGAGUUUCAGCAAUUUUCAUCUCAACUGGUUUGUCCUGCGGUCAAGUUUGAUGGUUAAUGGAAACCAGAACCACAAUGAGACGGAGAGAACUCUGUGUAACAGGAGAGGAGAAUCAAGGAAGUGGGCGAAAAGUAUAAGGAGAAUAGAGGAGAGUAUUGUCGCCUGGAAUCAGUUCUCAAAGAACUGAUUGUAGUAGUUUUCCUGGAGUGGCAAAGCUUGAUUAAUAAAUUAGGAAGGGACUGCCCUUCAAAGGAGAAAAGUGAAGAAAAUUCAUCAAAACUAAUGAAAAUGGGUAGAAUACUCUCGUAUAUCUUUCCUAGAAUCCUCCAGCAGAAGCCACUAACAAACAUGAUUGCCUCCAUUUUAGGUGGAUUUGAAGCGAAAAGGGGCUGGACUAACUGGUGAAAAGUACAGGGUAGAGUAUGAUUCGAGGAUUUAUCACUAGUUUCCUGAGUCCUCUGUUUUGAAGGUUUCUUUCCACUUGUCUUUUUACGGUGAGUUGCAGAGAGAUAGUGAGAGAGGGAGGGGUAUUAAGAGAAUGAGAGGAGAGACUUGCACAAGAGAGAGAGGUUUCUUACCACUUGUCUUUUUACGGUGAGUUGCAGAGAGAUACUGAGAGAGUGAGGGGUAUUAAGAGAAUGAGAGGAGAGAUUUGCGAGAGAGAGAGAGAGAGAGA